This 727-nucleotide long non-coding RNA is filed under the name Homo sapiens (human). RNAcentral describes it as "non-protein coding lnc-ODF1-2:1". Lineage: Eukaryota; Metazoa; Chordata; Mammalia; Primates; Hominidae. The record is from RNAcentral.
CAAACUUACUCUUCUCCCUGUGUUAUUUUUAUCUCAGUGGCACCAAGAGUCUGCCAAGCUUGAAAGCUGGAAGUCACCACUGAUUCCUCCCUCACUCCAUCCUCACUCUGUUCACUAAAUCCUGUUGAAUUCACCCAGAUGGUCAUUCACAGAAAACCCCACUACUAUUGUCCCUAGCAACUUACCUUCAGUGUGGCUGUCUCACUUCUGACAAAAGAAAAGAAAAUCAACAAUCCUUCGUUGGGCUCAAAAUAAAGUUCAGAGUCCUUAGUCUGGCUACAGGUCCCUUCAAACCUGGCCCUUGUCUCCCUCACCAGUGUCACAUCCAACCACUUGUCAUCAAUACCUGAGCUCUAGUUCAUACAAGGGAGACUCGAGAGCUGGACCGCAGUUUGAGGUGAAAGGACCAGAGGAGUAGAGGCACCGAGAGCCAAAUCUGAGGCCGAAUCAGAGGUCUAGGAUGUUAACUGAACAGAAAGUAAAGGAAACUGGCCGAAGCGGGGGUUUCAGGCAGUUGGCUUCCAGCAUCUUCAGGCGGUUGGCUACAAGAACAUCAAAGACCAACAUUUGGGAAGCACUCAGGGACAAGACAUCCGGAGGCUUGGAUGCAAGACCAAAGGUGUAGUUGAUGGGAGGUAGUUCCCCAGGACAGGCCCCCGAGGACUGACAGAUGGGAGCUUAAGGACAGGACCCCCAACCAGUAGAGAAAUGAGGUUCCCGAACAGCC